This 389-nucleotide ribosomal RNA is filed under the name Powellomycetaceae sp. Its description in RNAcentral is "partial small subunit ribosomal RNA". It matches the Rfam family "Eukaryotic small subunit ribosomal RNA", at positions 582 to 975 of the family's 1831-position model. The record is from RNAcentral. Lineage: Eukaryota; Fungi; Chytridiomycota; Chytridiomycetes; Spizellomycetales; Powellomycetaceae.
AUUCCAGCUCCAAUAGCGUAUAUUAAAGUUGUUGCAGUUAAAAAGCUCGUAGUUGAAUUUUGGACCUGGCUGGGUGGUCUUGCCGAAAGGUAAGCACUGCUCUGGUCGGGUCUUUCCUUCUGGGGAACCUGUGUGCUCUUAAUUGAGUGCGCAGGGGAUCCAGGACUUUUACUUUGAAAAAAUUAGAGUGUUUAAAGCAGGCUUACGCUUGAAUACAUUAGCAUGGAAUAAUAGAAUAGGACUUUGGUUCUAUUUUGUUGGUUUCUAGGACCGAAGUAAUGAUUAAUAGGGAUAGCUGGGGGCAUUAGUAUUUAAUUGUCAGAGGUGAAAUUCUUGGAUUUAUGAAAGACUAACUUCUGCGAAAGCAUUUGCCAAGGAUGUUUUCAUCG